GAUGAACGCUGGCGGCGUGCCUAAUACAUGCAAGUCGAGCGAACGGACGAGAAGCUUGCUUCUCUGAUGUUAGCGGCGGACGGGUGAGUAACACGUGGAUAACCUACCUAUAAGACUGGGAUAACUUCGGGAAACCGGAGCUAAUACCGGAUAAUAUUUUGAACCGCAUGGUUCAAAAGUGAAAGACGGUCUUGCUGUCACUUAUAGAUGGAUCCGCGCUGCAUUAGCUAGUUGGUAAGGUAACGGCUUACCAAGGCAACGAUGCAUAGCCGACCUGAGAGGGUGAUCGGCCACACUGGAACUGAGACACGGUCCAGACUCCUACGGGAGGCAGCAGUAGGGAAUCUUCCGCAAUGGGCGAAAGCCUGACGGAGCAACGCCGCGUGAGUGAUGAAGGUCUUCGGAUCGUAAAACUCUGUUAUUAGGGAAGAACAUAUGUGUAAGUAACUGUGCACAUCUUGACGGUACCUAAUCAGAAAGCCACGGCUAACUACGUGCCAGCAGCCGCGGUAAUACGUAGGAGGCAAGCGUUAUCCGGAAUUAUUGGGCGUAAAGCGCGCGUAGGCGGUUUUUUAAGUCUGAUGUGAAAGCCCACGGCUCAACCGUGGAGGGUCAUUGGAAACUGGAAAACUUGAGUGCAGAAGAGGAAAGUGGAAUUCCAUGUGUAGCGGUGAAAUGCGCAGAGAUAUGGAGGAACACCAGUGGCGAAGGCGACUUUCUGGUCUGUAACUGACGCUGAUGUGCGAAAGCGUGGGGAUCAAACAGGAUUAGAUACCCUGGUAGUCCACGCCGUAAACGAUGAGUGCUAAGUGUUAGGGGGUUUCCGCCCCUUAGUGCUGCAGCUAACGCAUUAAGCACUCCGCCUGGGGAGUACGACCGCAAGGUUGAAACUCAAAGGAAUUGACGGGGACCCGCACAAGCGGUGGAGCAUGUGGUUUAAUUCGAGGCAACGCGAAGAACCUUACCAAAUCUUGACAUCCUUUGACAACUCUAGAGAUAGAGCUUUCCCCUUCGGGGGACAAAGUGACAGGUGGUGCAUGGUUGUCGUCAGCUCGUGUCGUGAGAUGUUGGGUUAAGUCCCGCAACGAGCGCAACCCUUAAGCUUAGUUGCCAUCAUUAAGUUGGGCACUCUAAGUUGACUGCCGGUGACAAACCGGAGGAAGGUGGGGAUGACGUCAAAUCAUCAUGCCCCUUAUGAUUUGGGCUACACACGUGCUACAAUGGACAAUACAAAGGGCAGCGAAACCGCGAGGUCAAGCAAAUCCCAUAAAGUUGUUCUCAGUUCGGAUUGUAGUCUGCAACUCGACUACAUGAAGCUGGAAUCGCUAGUAAUCGUAGAUCAGCAUGCUACGGUGAAUACGUUCCCGGGUCU
Molecule: ribosomal RNA, 1372 nt
Filed under: uncultured bacterium
Lineage: Bacteria
Description: bacterial SSU rRNA
Rfam family: Bacterial small subunit ribosomal RNA
Source: RNAcentral